GUUUUAGGUAUUUUCUGCUCAUGAAAUUUAAAUGGCCGCAGUACUUUGACUGUGCUAAGGUAGCAUAAUCAAUUGUCUCUUAAUUGGAGACUAGAAUGAAUGAAUUUAUGGUUAAAUUCUUUAUUUAUAUAUUUUAUUAAAAUUUAUUAAUUAGGUGAAAAUACCUAAAAAUAAUUUAUUAGACGAGAAGACCCCAGGAAUUUUCAUUUUUUUAUUGGGGCGAUAUUUAAACAAUUACAAGAACUUUAGAUUAUUUAAUAAAACGAAAGAUUUUAAUUAAAAAUAAAUUACCCUGGGGAUAACAGCAUAAUUUUUUAUAAAGAUUGUGACCUCGAUGUUGGAUUAGAAAAAAAAUUUACUUAAAGAGUAAUUUUUUAUGUUCUGUUCGAACAAUAAUAAUUUUUCUACGUGAUCUGGUCCCAACC
RNAcentral lists this ribosomal RNA (425 nucleotides) under Succinea caduca. RNAcentral's name for it is "partial 16S ribosomal RNA". Lineage: Eukaryota; Metazoa; Mollusca; Gastropoda; Stylommatophora; Succineidae. The record is from RNAcentral.